AACGAACGCUGGCGGCGCGUCUUAAGCAUGCAAGUCGGACGGCAAGAGAAGUGCUUGCACUUCUCCUAGAGUGGCGGACUGGUGAGUAACGCGUGGGUAACCUGCCUCAUACAGGGGGAUAACAACUGGAAACGGUUGAUAAUACCGCAUAAGCGCACAGCAUCGCAUGAUGCAGUGUGAAAAACUCCGGUGGUAUGAGAUGGACCCGCGUCUGAUUAGCCAGUUGGCGGGGUAACGGCCCACCAAAGCGACGAUCAGUAGCCGGCCUGAGAGGGUGAACGGCCACAUUGGGACUGAGACACGGCCCAAACUCC
RNAcentral lists this ribosomal RNA (314 nucleotides) under uncultured Lachnospiraceae bacterium. RNAcentral describes it as "bacterial SSU rRNA". It matches the Rfam family "Bacterial small subunit ribosomal RNA", at positions 29 to 339 of the family's 1533-position model. The record is from RNAcentral. Lineage: Bacteria; Bacillati; Bacillota; Clostridia; Lachnospirales; Lachnospiraceae.